UGGGGAAUCUUGGACAAUGGGCGCAAGCCUGAUCCAGCCAUGCCGCGUGAGUGAAGAAGGCCUUCGGGUUGUAAAGCUCUUUUACCAGGGACGAUAAUGACGGUACCUGGAGAAUAAGCCCCGGCAAACUUCGUGCCAGCAGCCGCGGUAAUACGAAGGGGGCUAGCGUUGUUCGGAAUUACUGGGCGUAAAGCGCACGUAGGCGGAUUGUUAAGUCAGAGGUGAAAUCCCGGGCUCAACCUGGGAACGGCAUUUGAAACGGGCGGGCUGGAGUUGGGUAGAGGGGAGCGGAAUUCCGGGUGUAGCGGUGAAAUGCGUAGAUAUCCGGAGGAACACCAGUGGCGAAGGCGGCUCCCUGGACCCAAACUGACGCUGAGGCACGAAAGCGUGGGUAGCAAACAGGAUUAGAUACCCAAGUAGUCCCUGAGCGGGCUGGCAAGGCGCAU
RNAcentral lists this ribosomal RNA (446 nucleotides) under uncultured bacterium. RNAcentral's name for it is "bacterial SSU rRNA". It matches the Rfam family "Bacterial small subunit ribosomal RNA", at positions 355 to 825 of the family's 1533-position model. The record is from RNAcentral.